RNAcentral lists this long non-coding RNA (1127 nucleotides) under Bemisia tabaci. RNAcentral describes it as "lncRNA ENSSWEETPG005940". Lineage: Eukaryota; Metazoa; Arthropoda; Insecta; Hemiptera; Aleyrodidae. The record is from RNAcentral.
UUUUUGACCUUCUCCAAAAGCAUCGACACUAAAAAUAUGACAACCAUUUAAAAGUUUAUCAAUAAUUGUAAUUUUAUUUUUCCCCCGCUUGAUUGUUUCAGAUCCUGAAAAUUCUAAGCGCGGUGUCAAUAGCAGUUAGAGCAACGUUAUUGGAAGGUAGUUCGAGUAGAGGACAAAAGUGCGUUGGAAAUGGAGAGAAAUUAAAAUAUCUUUGGGGCGACGCCCUUACCGACACUUCAAAUUGUGUAGGACCAAAUAAUGCUCCGUAUCCAUAUUCAAUAAUUUCAAAAACUUUUAGAAGAAAUCAAAUGUCAAGAAUGGGGCGAUCAUUCAAUGCUGUAGAUCCAUUGCUGACGAGUAGGAGUUUAUUAAAAAAUUAUGAAUUGAAUAACCAAUUACAAGAGGACGUCACGAUAAGUCGUUCAAGUAAGUAUUGAUGGGCUCUCUUUCCGUUUUGAAAACUUUUCCAUUCCACCCUCAAAUGACCUAACACAAAAGCUUCAUAUUUUUUAGCAACCGUGGACCGGAGCUUUCAGCAGGCAUUACAACGGAGUAUAAUUUGCCUUCAAUCCAAUGCGGCGCAACACGCAUUACAGUCGUGUUGAAAUAGAUUACCACGCGCCUGAAUCUUCUGAUCACUAACAUUCCGAGGAGAAAAAUGUCGAUGUCUAAAGAUUCUCCGUCUGCAACGUUGCAGACCGCGAGCGUGGCGUUGCGGGAUUUACUCCCAUGAAUAUAAUAUAAAAUUGAGAAAUUAAUUUAUAAUUAUUUGAAGUAAAGUAAAAGGAAAUCAAUUACUAAAUCCAUCCAUAAAAGCAAAAAUAAUUCCAACUUUAGUUGGAACUAACUCGGUGACGUACAUUAUUUUCGUUUUUGGAAAACUGGUCAACGUAAUUUCUUAAAAAUCCUUGGCUGUUCCUCUCUGUUGACAGAAUAUUCUCUAUUUUCAAGCCAUGAACUGUGUUUAUUUGUCUGCAAAAAAAUAAAAUAGGAGCGGAAAUUUUGAAACAUUACAAUAGAGGUACGUGGUGUCGCAUUUUGGCCAUCAAUAUGACAAAUGUUUUACUCUACUCUGUUGUACUCUGCGAACCUAACCUAAUGGAAGAUUAACAGUGAAUUACGUUCAG